This 572-nucleotide ribosomal RNA is filed under the name uncultured bacterium. RNAcentral describes it as "partial 16S ribosomal RNA". It matches the Rfam family "Bacterial small subunit ribosomal RNA", at positions 355 to 932 of the family's 1533-position model. The record is from RNAcentral.
UGAGGAAUAUUGGUCAAUGGGCGAGAGCCUGAACCAGCCAAAUCGCGUGAAGGAAGACUGCCUUAUGGGUUGUAAACUUCUUUUAUACAGGAAUAAAAAAGGGGACGUGUCCCUUAUUGCAUGUACUGUAUGAAUAAGCAUCGGCUAACUCCGUGCCAGCAGCCGCGGUAAUACGGAGGAUGCGAGCGUUAUCCGGAUUUAUUGGGUUUAAAGGGUGCGCAGGCGGGCUUUUAAGUCAGCGGUGAAAUCUCGGGGCUUAACUCCGAAACUGCCGUUGAAACUGGGAGUCUUGAGUAUGGAUGAAGUAGGCGGAAUUCGUUGUGUAGCGGUGACAUGCUUAGAUAUAACGAGGAACUCCGAUUGCGUAGGCAGCUUACUAAGCCAUAACUGACGCUCAAGCACGAAAGCGUGGGGAUCAAACAGGAUUAGAUACCCUGGUAGUCCACGCCGUAAACGAUGAUUACUAGUUGUAUGCGAUAUACCGUAUGUGACUAAGCGAAAGCGAUAAGUAAUCCACCUGGGGAGUACGCCGGCAACGGUGAAACUCAAAUGAAUUGACGGGGUCAUAGCUG